RNAcentral lists this ribosomal RNA (429 nucleotides) under Actinomycetes bacterium. RNAcentral's name for it is "Actinobacteria bacterium partial 16S ribosomal RNA". It matches the Rfam family "Bacterial small subunit ribosomal RNA", at positions 355 to 776 of the family's 1533-position model. The record is from RNAcentral. Lineage: Bacteria; Bacillati; Actinomycetota; Actinomycetes.
UAGGGAAUCUUCCGCAAUGGGCGAAAGCCUGACGGAGCAACGCCGCGUGAGUGAUGAAGGUCUUCGGAUCGUAAAACUCUGUUAUUAGGGAAGAACAAAUGUGUAAGUAACUAUGCACGUCUUGACGGUACCUAAUCAGAAAGCCACGGCUAACUACGUGCCAGCAGCCGCGGUAAUGCGUAGGUGGCAAGCGUUAUCCGGAAUUAUUGGGCGUAAAGCGCGCGUAGGCGGUUUUUUAAGUCUGAUGUGAAAGCCCACGGCUCAACCGUGGAGGGUCAUUGGAAACUGGAAAACUUGAGUGCAGAAGAGGAAAGUGGAAUUCCAUGUGUAGCGGUGAAAUGCGCAGAGAUAUGGAGGAACACCAGUGGCGAAGGCGACUUUCUGGUCUGUAACUGACGCUGAUGUGCGAAAGCGGGGGGAUCAAACAGG